CAGUCGCCGCGGUAAUGCGUAGGGAGCAAGCGUUGUUCGGAUUUACUGGGCGUAAAGGGCGCGUAGGCGGCGCGGUAAGUCACUUGUGAAAUCUCUGAGCUUAACUCAGAACGGCCAGGUGAUACUGCUGUGCUAGAGUGCGGAAGAGGCAACCGGAAUUCUUGGUGUAGCGGUGAAAUGCGUAGAUAUCAAGAGGAACACCUGAGGCGAAGGCGGGUUGCUGGGCCGACACUGACGCUGAUGCGCGAAAGCCAGGGGAGCAGACGGGAUUAGAUACCCCAGUAGUCCCUGUCUCUUAUAC
This 301-nucleotide ribosomal RNA is filed under the name uncultured bacterium. RNAcentral's name for it is "partial 16S ribosomal RNA". It matches the Rfam family "Bacterial small subunit ribosomal RNA", at positions 509 to 807 of the family's 1533-position model. The record is from RNAcentral.